GAUGAACGCUAGCUACAGGCUUAACACAUGCAAGUCGAGGGGCAGCACAGUGUAGCAAUACAUGGGUGGCGACCGGCGCACGGGUGCGUAACGCGUAUCCAACCUUCCCGAUACUCAGGGAUAGCCUUCCGAAAGGGAGAUUAAUACCUGAUGGUGUUCAAAUUCCGCAUGUUGUUUGAACUAAAGAUUUAUCGGUAUCGGAUGGGGAUGCGUGACAUUAGAUAGUAGGCGGGGUAACGGCCCACCUAGUCUACGAUGUCUAGGGGUUCUGAGAGGAAGGUCCCCCACACUGGAACUGAGACACGGUCCAGACUCCUACGGGAGGCAGCAGUGAGGAAUAUUGGUCAAUGGUCGGAAGACUGAACCAGCCAAGUAGCGUGAAGGAUGAAGGUUCUAUGGAUUGUAAACUUCUUUUAUACGGGAAUAAAACCUCCCACGUGUGGGAGCUUGUAUGUACCGUAUGAAUAAGCAUCGGCUAACUCCGUG
RNAcentral lists this ribosomal RNA (486 nucleotides) under uncultured bacterium. RNAcentral describes it as "bacterial SSU rRNA". It matches the Rfam family "Bacterial small subunit ribosomal RNA", at positions 28 to 507 of the family's 1533-position model. The record is from RNAcentral.